This is a long non-coding RNA of Herpailurus yagouaroundi (jaguarundi), 1583 nucleotides long. RefSeq lists it as uncharacterized. The record is from RefSeq and is a predicted model, not a curated record. The transcript has 2 exons. NCBI's taxonomy places the organism in Eukaryota, Metazoa, Chordata, Mammalia, Carnivora, Felidae.
GAUUCCUGCCUCUGUCCCUGGGACCUCGGUCCUCAGCUUACGUUACAGGUUGACCUCCCAUCUCACAGAUGAAGAAACUGAGGCGCCCGACACAGCAAAGACAUGAACCCAGUCUGGAGGGGCCCCCGGAAGGAGUUCUCUCAGGAGCCAACACAGCACACCCCUGGGACCCCUCCGCCUACCACACCCCAACCAGCGUCCUCACCGGCUUCAAGGUCACAAACACAGGAUGACCCCCCGCCAUCAACGUCAUGGGUUCAUAACAGUCAAAAAAGGGCUCAAUGAUGAUGACCUAGCAAAAGGAUCUGAUUAGCUGGGGUCAGUAUGGCCCCCGACCCUCAUCCCCACCGGGCCCGAGCCUCGAUCACUCACCUCGUCUCCUUCUUCCACCAGGGCCUGGAAGGCUGUGAACAGGGCCCCAUAGGCACCCACAGUCACCAGCACGUUCUUGAGUGGGUCUAUCUCCCGUCCCAGCAGCUUCCCAAAGAAACUUGCCAGGAUCUUUGUCAGGGGUGGGUAACCCUGCCAGGACAGCAGUGGUCAGCCCCCUGGCUCGGCCUGGGCCCACCCUCCCGCUCAGCUGCAUCCAGGCGGUUCUAGCACUUUCUAGCAAUAGUCCUGAGGCAAUGUUGGCUCAAGUUGGGUGAGUUCUUUUAUCUCCCCUACCAGUGCUUGUCAUAAAGCCUGUUCUGUGCGGUCCCAAUGCCCAGGGCUGGCAUUUGGUGGAGACCCGGAGACCCAGACAGAGCGCGUGCCUUCGCGGAGCACAGUCCAACAGAGCCCCACAGUAGCGGCAACUCCACAAUUUCAGUUUAAGAAGGACAUUCGUGCCAUCUGAUCAUCCCAGCAGCUUUGCAAGACAUGAUUCCCACCAUUCGACUGGUAGAAAAACAGAGACUCAGAGACAGGAAAUGACUUGCUCAAGGUCAUGCACAGUUGAGGUGCAGGAAUAGGCCUUUACAUCACAGCUUUGGAAGCACCCUGCUUUGAGAGGAAGGUUGGAUCCGUACGCUUGUUUGCUGAGGACACUUAUAAAACACUUGAGGCUAAGCCAAGUGACUGAAACCUGCGGUCUAGAACUUAACUAAAUAAUCCACUAAAUCAGAUUUGACCACAGAAAAUUUUCUGUACAGGAAAAUAUACCAUGAGCAAAGUUAAAAGACAAACAUUGCAAGUUAAGAGAAGGAGGUAAGAUGUUUAAUAUAUAAAGAGCUCUUACAAAACAACAAGACAAAGAUAUAUACCUAAAUGAAAAAAAUGAAGUAGGUCAUGAAAGAAAAAGUGUUGAUGCCCAAUACACACAUAAUUGAGGAAAAGCAAAUAAAAGCAACAUUGAAAGAUUGCUCUAAUAUUAUAAGAAUAUAAUAUCAGUAUUAAAAAGAUUGGCAAGAGUAUAGGACAAAUGGGUGGUCUCUCUACAGAACGAACUUUCCUGCCAGGUCUGCGACCAGUCUGUUGGUGGGGAUGUGAGUAAGCCUUUUUGGAAGGCAAUCUGACAGUGUCUACCACAUGUUUACACGCUUAGACCCUUUGAUUCUCUAGUUUUACUGCCAGGGAUCUAAGAGAAACACGCACACGGGUGU